This 254-nucleotide ribosomal RNA is filed under the name uncultured bacterium. RNAcentral's name for it is "partial 16S ribosomal RNA". It matches the Rfam family "Bacterial small subunit ribosomal RNA", at positions 524 to 776 of the family's 1533-position model. The record is from RNAcentral.
UACGUAGGUGGCAAGCGUUGUCCGGAUUUACUGGGCGUAAAGAGCGCGCAGGCGGUCGUUCAAGUCGCGUGUGAAAGCCCCCGGCUCAACUGGGGAGGGUCACGCGAUACUGAUCGACUCGAAGGCAGGAGAGGGAAGUGGAAUUCCCGGUGUAGUGGUGAAAUGCGUAGAUAUCGGGAGGAACACCAGUGGCGAAGGCGACUACCUGGCCUGUUUCUUGACGCUGAGGCGCGAAAGCUAGGGGAGCAAACGGG